GCACACGUACUACAACAAUAAACAGUUGGAAGCGAGAGGACUGAGGAGAGAUGUCUCCGUGUGUCUCCAAGCCUCCUUGAUUUCACUUGCAUUCCUGGCUGAUAGUGUAGCGCUGUGUGAGCAGAAAGGCGAGGAGCAGAGCAGAACGGGCUGCUGCACAACCUUACACGUGAAAAGGGAUUGCUGUAAAAGACAGCGGGAAUAAGAGUAUGUGACUUCGAGAUGGACAGAGACAGACAAACAGAAAAGACCGAAAUAGAAAAGGAGGACGUGUGAGUGGCAGACACAGACGGAGAGGACAUGCAGAAUAUAGAAAGAGGAAAAAAACGAAGGCCGACAUCUGUCGUGGGGACCAUCUGGUCUCUUAUCUCUUCAGUCUGACAUCAGAGAGCAGUGUUUCCCAACCCUGGACAAGCACACCUGAUUCCACUUGUCAACGAAUCAUCAAGCCCUCAAUGAGUUGAAUGAGAUCUGUUCCCUGAACUGGUUCCAACCCCUGUUAUAAAUCUGAAACACCAUCUGGACAGCAUUGAAAGCUUUUCCCUUAGUUACAUAGUAUAACAAUUGGACAGACCUAGUGACAAAUCAUUCACCUUAGGUUGAACAAUACAGUGAGCUCAUGUGAGAG
Oncorhynchus masou masou (cherry salmon) is the source of this 628-nucleotide long non-coding RNA. RefSeq lists it as uncharacterized. The transcript is spliced from 3 exons. NCBI's taxonomy places the organism in Eukaryota, Metazoa, Chordata, Actinopteri, Salmoniformes, Salmonidae. The record is from RefSeq and is a predicted model, not a curated record.